This is a microRNA precursor of Gorilla gorilla gorilla (western lowland gorilla), 92 nucleotides long. Lineage: Eukaryota; Metazoa; Chordata; Mammalia; Primates; Hominidae. The record is from Ensembl.
UGUCACUCUGCCGGCAUCAUGAAGUGCACUCAUGAUAUGUUUGCCCCAUCAGCGUGUCACAAGGGCAUUUCAUGACGCAGGCGGAGUUGGCA